GACGAACGCUGGCGGCGUGCUUAACACAUGCAAGUCGAACGGAAAGGCCCUGCUUGCAGGGUCCUCGAGUGGCGAACGGGUGAGUAACACGUGGGUGAUCUGCCCUGCACUUCGGGAUAAGCCUGGGAAACUGGGUCUAAUACCGGAUAGGAGCCAUUUUUAGUGUGAUGGUUGGAAAGUUUUUUCGGUGUAGGAUGAGCUCGCGGCCUAUCAGCUUGUUGGUGGGGUAAUGGCCUACCAAGGCGGCGACGGGUAGCCGGCCUGAGAGGGUGGACGUCCACAUUGGGACUGAGAUACGGCCCAGACUCCUACGGGAGGCAGCAGUGGGGAAUAUUGCACAAUGGGCGCAAGCCUGAUGCAGCGACGCCGCGUGGGGGAUGACGGCCUUCGGGUUGUAAACUCCUUUCGCUAGGGACGAAGCUUUUUGUGACGGUACCUAGAGAAGAAGCACCGGCUAACUACGUG
This 465-nucleotide ribosomal RNA is filed under the name uncultured bacterium. RNAcentral's name for it is "partial 16S ribosomal RNA". It matches the Rfam family "Bacterial small subunit ribosomal RNA", at positions 28 to 507 of the family's 1533-position model. The record is from RNAcentral.